GACGAACGCUGGCGGCGUGCUUAACACAUGCCAGUCGUACGGUAAGGCCCUUUCGGGGGUCCACGAGUGGCGAACGGGUGCGUAACACGUGAGUAACCUGCCCACUCUUUUUGUUUAACGCUAGUAACCUGGUGCUAAUUAUGGAUAUGUCCUACUGCUGCUUGGUGGGGUUUGGAAAGCUCCGGCGGUCUUGGAUGGAUUGGCGGGCUAUCAGCUUGUUGGUGGGGUAGUGGCCUACCAAGGCGGCGACGGGUAGCCGGCCUGCGGGGGUGACCGGCGACAUUGGGACUGAGAUACGGCACAGACGCCGAAGGGAGGCAGAAGUGGGGAAUAUUGCACAAUGGGCGCAAGGCGGAUGCAGCAGCGCCGCGUGCGGGAUGACGGUCUUCGGGUUGAAAAACGCUUUCAGCAGGGACGAAGCUUUUUGUGACGGUACCUGCAGAAGAAGCACCGGCUAACUACGUG
Molecule: ribosomal RNA, 465 nt
Filed under: uncultured bacterium
Lineage: Bacteria
Description: partial 16S ribosomal RNA
Rfam family: Bacterial small subunit ribosomal RNA
Source: RNAcentral